CCCCCAAUCCCUUCCCUCCUUCCCUCCCUUCUCCCCAUCCCCAUCCACGGAUCCAUCCUAUGGACCCCAUCCUAUGUGUCCCUGAAGACCCCCGAGUGGCAUAGCAUUCGUUUGCAUGUGUGUGGCAUUGGCAGGGGAGUCUGGGCAGGGGGUGGUCAGUGCAAUGACUUGGGCCUGAAAGAAUGAGGUUUUGGUGGUGAGCUCUUCCCCUGUGGAGCUGAAUGUGCAGCCGUGUGUUUUGUUCACGGCUUCCUGCGUCUGCCCUCUAGAGGCCCACAGAAGCCUCGCACCUCCCCAGCCCGGCGUCUGCGGGUGAAUUGUCUGAGCAGGAGCACAACAGCUUAAGCUUCAUGUUCUCCGGGCCCAGGUGAAAUACUCUCACCCCCUCUGAUGGCCACUUUCCAAUCCUGUUAUCCGCCCCCAGUCUUGUGAUCUGUCCCACAGCAAACACUCCUUCCAGGUGUGAGUUGUGCCAAGGAACACUGUUUCGUUGUCACACAUAGUACUUAGACGCAGUGAGUGAAGAGACACUUGGUCCCGGGCCCCCUUCUCUGCACACACUGCCCUGUGUGCUACAGCAUGCCAGGCAGGGUGCCAGGACAGCAGGCCCGUGAAGACCAUGGCGGCGGCUGUCUGAAGACCAGCUCACAGCAGGAGCUGCGCUGAGAUCUUCUCCUGGGUGCUCAUGCUGGGGCCCGAGGUCGUAUGGAAAAGGCUUGUCCCCCUUGCUGGAUGUCACAAGGCUCAGCCACGUGGAUAGAAGCUGCUUGGAUGACCACAUUAAGUGAAUGGCCGCAUCUGUGCACUGGCUCUGCAGCCCUGGGCAGCGACACAGAGACAGCAAGCAGAGCAUCCAUCACCAGGAUUCUCAGGCAGGUGUUACACCAGAGCUCAUGCGUGUCUGGCCCCAGGCUCUGAGCUGUGGCGCAUUCUUCUUGCACAUGCCCUGUAGGCCGGGUGAAAUGUUGUCACUGAAGGUGAGCUAGGAAGUCACAGGGCAGGUUUCACAAGAGACACAUCACAAAGACCCUGCUCAUAAAACAGGAUGUGGGAGAGAAGCCAGCCAAAACCAAGAUGGUGGCAAAAGAAACCUCUGUUCAUUAUACACUAAUCAUAAUGCAUUUGCAUAUGCUCAAUGACGUGCCUGGCAGCACCAAGACAGUUUACAGACGCCAUGGCAACGUCUGGAAGUUACCCUAUGGGGUCUGAAGUGGGGAGGAAUUCUCAGUUCUUGGGGAAUUCCCUGCCUUUUUCCCAGAAAACUCAUGAAUAAUCCACCUGUUGUUCGGCAUAUAAUCAAGAAAUAACCAUAAAAAUAGCCACCCUUUUAUUCCUGUGCGGUAACCACCCAUUUAUUUCUUUACUUUCUUGAUUAACCUGAUUUCACUCUGUCCUCUUGCUCUUUUUUUUUUUUUGAGACAGAGUCUCGCCCUGUCACCAGGCUGGAGUGCAGUGGCAUGAACUCAGCUCACUGCAACCUCCACCUCCCGGGUUCCAGCGAUUCUCCUGCCUCAGCCUCCCGAGUAGCUGGGAUUACAGAUGUGCACCACCACGUCCAGCUAAUCUUUGUAUUUUUAGUAGAGAUGGGAUUUCACCAUGUUGGCCAGGCUGGUCUCAAAAUCCUGACCUCAAGCAAUCCACCUGCCUCGGCCUCCCAAAGUGCUGGGAUUACAGGCGUGAGCCACUGUGCCCAGCCUGUCCUCUCACUCUUGAAUUCCUUCCUGCAUGACACUAAGAACCCAUGUGACCUCCCGGGAUGAGCCCCGAUUUGGGGGUUCACCUGUGAUAAAGUAAGCUGGUGAACAGCAGGGAAGCACUCUGUGUCUGUAGCUUCCUGUGAGUAUGCAAUCAUUUCAAAAUUAAAAGUUUGUUAAAGCUAUAAAAAUUAUAAAAUAAAUUAAUAAAAAUCAUUGUCUCAAUCUUCACAACAA
Homo sapiens (human) is the source of this 1931-nucleotide long non-coding RNA. RefSeq lists it as uncharacterized. NCBI's taxonomy places the organism in Eukaryota, Metazoa, Chordata, Mammalia, Primates, Hominidae. The record is from RefSeq and is a predicted model, not a curated record. The transcript is spliced from 2 exons.